This 429-nucleotide ribosomal RNA is filed under the name uncultured bacterium. Its description in RNAcentral is "bacterial SSU rRNA". It matches the Rfam family "Bacterial small subunit ribosomal RNA", at positions 355 to 776 of the family's 1533-position model. The record is from RNAcentral.
UGGGGAAUAUUGCGCAAUGGGCGAAAGCCUGACGCAGCGACGCCGCGUGGAGGAUGAAGGUCUUAGGAUUGUAAACUCCUGUCAGAUGGGAAGAAAAUAUCAUAUUUAAUAGAUGUGAGGAAUGACGGUACCAUCAGAGGAAGCACCGGCUAACUUCGUGCCAGCAGCCGCGGUAAUACGAAGGGUGCAAACGUUAUUCGGAAUCACUGGGCGUAAAGGGUGCGUAGACGGUAUGUUAAGUUCGUCGUUAAAGGCUCCGGCCUAACCGGAGUACCGCGAUGAAAACUGGCGUGCUAGAGGGUGAGAGAGAGAAGUGGAAUUCCUGGAGUAGCGGUAAAAUGCGUGGAUCUCAGGAGGAACACCAAUGGCGAAGGCAGCUUCUUGGCUCAUUCCUGACGUUGAGGCACGAAAGCGUGGGGAGCAAACAGG